CCCGCGGAUGCCCCGAUUCCCCGCCGGCAGGGUGCGGAGUCCGCUGCCCCGCGGCGGACCCUCUGCCCGGAGCCGCAGACAGCCCCCCGCGAGCGCCGCUCCUGGCGCCGGAGGGCUAGGGGACCGGGUCCCAGUGCCAGCGGGUAGGAGACUGCAGGUACCCGACAACUUACAGCCCAGGGCGGCUACGAGCCUAAAGGUCCAGAUUUUUGGAAAUUCUCUGGCGUGGAGCGAAGCAGUCGAGGUGGCGCUCCUGGGAGAGGGGGUUUGCCGGAUUUGCCUUGGACACGAGGGUUAAAAAAAAAAAAGAAAAAACGAUCAAGAUUCGAGCUGGAAGGCAGGCGUCAGAUUUUAGCAAUAGCCUUGGGCCUUUUUGCGUCUCCAGACCCAGCAAAGCAGGACCAUCACACAAAACAGAUUCUUGGGAAGCUGGACAGAACCACUCCAUGGCUGAUGUCAGGACCAGGUGCAAUGAUCCAUUACCCCCUACCCUAGCACCAACCAGUCAGUGGAGACCACCACCCUAACUCUAUUAGUCACCAGGAUAGAUGAUUUUCCCCCCUUAUUUAAUCCAUCGCCGGAAGCCAUUGGGGAGCCAGGUCUUUGAGCAGUAGCUUGCUUGUGACUCUGGGCAUAGUGCCAUCUCCUUUUUAAUAAAUCCUCACUUUCUUGGCUGC
Phyllostomus discolor (pale spear-nosed bat) is the source of this 677-nucleotide RNA transcript. It is a transcript of the gene named BAG family molecular chaperone regulator 4-like, with no coding region annotated. The transcript has 3 exons. The record is from RefSeq and is a predicted model, not a curated record. NCBI's taxonomy places the organism in Eukaryota, Metazoa, Chordata, Mammalia, Chiroptera, Phyllostomidae.